Molecule: long non-coding RNA, 237 nt
Filed under: Elaeis guineensis (African oil palm)
Lineage: Eukaryota; Viridiplantae; Streptophyta; Magnoliopsida; Arecales; Arecaceae
Description: long non-coding RNA (EGUI_LNC076420)
Source: RNAcentral
GUACAUUCAGACUAAUGCUCAGGUUGGUCGAGCCACACUCGGGUCUAGACAUCUAUUUUGUUGGAUGCACUUGAUGUUGUCAUGUUAAUGGUUGGAUAUAGUCAGGAUUUUCAGUGGAGGCGCCACACGCCUGCUGAAGGAAUGCUUGGGGCAAAAUUUGAUUAUUAAAAAUUGUUUGGAGAAAUAAUUGGUUGUAAACCUACCCAUGGAUGCACUAGGGUUGGCCGAGCCACACUC